GAAUGAGAGGGCCAUCUGGCCAGAGCAUCUGUUACUGAACUGGUUGCCAGGAUUGUUUCCACUGAUCUGACUGGCUAAGUGGGAGUCCCUUUCCUCCUUAUGUCAGUCCCUCCCAAAGCCUGUGGGUGGAAUGGCGUCUUCCUUUUCUUUGGUCAAGGGUAUCUGAGUCCUGACGCAUGCUUGCUGGAAACUGAAAGCCAGCUCCACAUCUUGUAAGUAUGGUGCAAAUCAAAUACAAUAAUAGACUUGACACUCUAAAGCUCUAU
This 266-nucleotide small nuclear RNA is filed under the name Ursus maritimus (polar bear). RNAcentral describes it as "7SK RNA (ENSUMAG00000010790.1)". It matches the Rfam family "7SK RNA". From Rfam's summary of the family: 7SK was discovered as an abundant small nuclear RNA in the mid-70s but a possible function has only recently been suggested. Two independent studies have found that 7SK RNA binds the CDK9/cyclin T complex (known as elongation factor P-TEFb). The record is from RNAcentral. Lineage: Eukaryota; Metazoa; Chordata; Mammalia; Carnivora; Ursidae.